CUUCUCUGCAUUUCCUUACCAGACAAUGGACAUAACAGACUCACGUCACAAGGUCAUUGUGAAGGUCAAAUGAGAUUUUGGCUGUGAGUAGGAUUUGUAAAUGCUAAAGUUUGGAAAGUCAGGGUUUGUUAUUCUUAUUACAUUGUUUCCUUGAUUCAGGUCAAAUCCUGUCAUUAGCAGCCCCAAACCUAGAUAGGAGUCCUGGCCAAGUUUAAGGGGUGGCUGACUUCUGAGCAAUACCCAAGACGGUAGAAACAUGGCCCCGCCCCGAACUGGGGUUCAGAAUUGGAGGUACUUUGGUUGGUCCCUAAAUCCUACCAUCCCCACUUCUCCACUACCUUUUGCUUUCGCCCCUGCUCCCAUCUGUGCUGGCUGGCUAUCUUUACCAUUUCCGUGCCCCUUGACAGAAGCUGUGUGACAAAUUUAUGGCCAAGACAGGGCGUGUUCAUCAAAUGUUCACACACUCUUGGUUGGGGGUGGUGGUGGUCAAUGAAAUGUAGGCAGAAAUGACAUGUGUCUCUUCUAGGCAGAGGCCGUUAAGAGCUAGUGUUCCCUUGUCCCCUGUUGGAUGCCAUCUCUAAGGUAGAGGAAGGCUACUUGACUCACAGUGGUCUUUGUGACAUGAACAGAAGUGAAUCUUAAUUGUAAUAAGCCCCUGAGAUUUGGGGGUUAAUGGGUGAAGCGAUGUAGCCUAGCACUGCCCCCUCCAUUUCCUGCCAUUGGUCCACACAGAGGAGAGGAGGGAGGACCCUAUUCCCACAGAGUGAGCGAAGAGGGGAUUGUCCAGACCCCGCAGCUACCAAGCCAGGUUGCAACGCCCUGCUCCUGGCCUGAAACCCAGGCUUCCGGCCAGUUCCAGGCUCUUCCCUGCUGGGCCUGCAGAGAACAGGCUGCCCACUCCCGAGAAAAGGUCAGAGAAUUUUUUUUUUUCUGUGGCGGACACCGGACCCCCGGUUUCCCUAAUGGGUGGUGGGAGGGGAGGCUGAGCACCCUCCCUUGAGCUCCCCUUACUCCUCACCCUUUCAGGCCCUGAGCUCCACUGCUCCAGCAAGAGAGAGAGAAACCGGAGGGGAAGCCGAGCUCGAGCUCCUGCACUUCCUCUCUGAGCUGGAAGCUGCGCUGGCCAGCGUUCAAGACUUAAUUAGCUGCAAUAACUGAAUAAUCAUCUUUAAGAUGAUAGUGGUAAAGCUCACGAGCAUCCCGUCGCCAGCUUGACUGUGCCA
This 1223-nucleotide long non-coding RNA is filed under the name Canis lupus familiaris (dog). RNAcentral's name for it is "lncRNA (ENSCAFG00040015369.1)". The record is from RNAcentral. Lineage: Eukaryota; Metazoa; Chordata; Mammalia; Carnivora; Canidae.